Molecule: non-coding RNA, 72 nt
Organism: Lingula anatina
Lineage: Eukaryota; Metazoa; Brachiopoda; Lingulata; Lingulida; Lingulidae
Source: Rfam
GGCUCGUUGGUCUAGGGGUACGAUUCUUGCUUUGGGUGCGAGAGGUCCCAGGUUCAAAUCCCGAAUGAGCCC